RNAcentral lists this transfer-messenger RNA (354 nucleotides) under Tissierellia bacterium. It matches the Rfam family "transfer-messenger RNA". From Rfam's summary of the family: Bacterial tmRNA, also known as 10Sa RNA or SsrA, is named for its dual tRNA and mRNA-like properties. Its role is to liberate the mRNA from a stalled ribosome. The record is from RNAcentral. Lineage: Bacteria; Bacillati; Bacillota; Tissierellia.
GGGGGCGAAAUUGGCUUCGACGGGGAUUUGAAACUUGUAGUAGCAAGCCAUCAUUGGCAAGGUGAUGUAAAACAGGCCAAAAACAUUAAAUGCUAACGACAAUAACGUAGCACUAGCCGCGUAAUUUAACGCAGCCAUCCAAACUAGAAGGCCCACGGUCUAGGGAGGGUGUCAAAAUUAGUGGGGAACCGCACUAAGCUAAGCUUUGCCCUUAGGACGGAAUUUAUGAAGCUACCCUGGCCUAGCGGCUUGGUCCUUCAGCUAAGCUAGGGAAAAUUUAAGAAGGUUCUGAGCUUGGAGAAGCUACUUGGGAAGAGUUCUCGGACGCGGGUUCGACCCCCGCCGCCUCCACCA